RNAcentral lists this small RNA (116 nucleotides) under Callithrix jacchus (white-tufted-ear marmoset). Its description in RNAcentral is "Metazoan signal recognition particle RNA (ENSCJAG00000073263.1)". Lineage: Eukaryota; Metazoa; Chordata; Mammalia; Primates; Cebidae. The record is from Rfam by way of RNAcentral.
GCCAGGCGUGGUGGCUCAUGCCUGUAAUCCAAGCACUUUGGAGGCUAAGGCGGGCGGAUCACCUGAGGUCGGGAGUUCAAGACCAGCCCGACCAACAUGGUGAAACCCCAUCUUUA